RNAcentral lists this ribosomal RNA (401 nucleotides) under Triatoma vandae. RNAcentral describes it as "eukaryotic LSU rRNA". The record is from RNAcentral. Lineage: Eukaryota; Metazoa; Arthropoda; Insecta; Hemiptera; Reduviidae.
UUUGAGAUGGCCUCUCGCCCUAUUCAGUGUAACAGCUGUGGUAGUGGGUUUGGUCGCUCGCAUUUAAAUUGGAAGGGUAAUGGUGGACCGCACUUCUCCCUUAGUAGGACGUUGCGACCUGUCAAAUAAUAUCCUAAGUAUUUGGCUAAUUUGUCUGUUUUUAGGCAGUACUGAAAGGUAUUUCCUUUAACAGUUUUAGCCGUUAACAUACUGGAUAUAAUUGACAGUAACGAAUCAUGGUGUUGAGCCACUUACUUUGUAAGUGUCCUUUAUGGCUGUUUGCAAGUGGGUUGGUUAAUUAGUUUUAGUCGGAUUUUGGUCCGUCUAACUAUUCCGCCUACUGUUGGUAAACUGUUCCUUGGACAGUGCUUAUAACACCGGUCGGCAGCGAUUCAGGUUCA